AUAUCAAUAAGCGGAGGAAAAGAAACCAACAGGGAUGGCCUCAGUAACGGCGAGUGAAGCGGCCAAAGCUCAGUUUGAAAGCUUCGGCAUUGUAACAAGGGGGUGGCGCGCGCUAAAGUCUCCUGGAACGGAGCACCACAGAGGGUGAUAGUCCCGUGCGCACGCGCCGUGAACCUACGAUGAGUCGAGUUGUUUGGGAAUGCAGCUCUAACGGAGGUACGCGCCUUCGAAAGCUAAAUACCGGCGAGAGACCGAUAGCAAACAAGUACUGUGAAGGAAAGAUGAAAAGCACUUUGAAAAGAGAGUGAAACAGAUGUGAAAUUGGGCAGAGGGAAGGGUUUGC
This 343-nucleotide ribosomal RNA is filed under the name [Candida] sp. AS2.4027. RNAcentral describes it as "eukaryotic LSU rRNA". It matches the Rfam family "Eukaryotic large subunit ribosomal RNA", at positions 40 to 426 of the family's 3401-position model. Lineage: Eukaryota; Fungi; Ascomycota; Saccharomycetes; Saccharomycetales. The record is from RNAcentral.